AGCUCCAAUAGCGUAUAUUAAAGUUGUUGCAGUUAAAAAGCUCGUAGUUGGAUUUGUGGCUGUCACGGGCGGCCUAUCACUUAGUGUUAGUGCUUGCCUGUGUCGCCAUCCUUGGGUGGAGCCCGUGUGGCAUUAGGUUGUCGUGCGGGGGAUGCCCAUCGUUUACUGUGAGAAAAUUAGAGUGUUCAAAGCAGGCUUAUGCCGUUGAAUAUGUUAGCAUGGAAUAAUAAGAUAGGACCUCGGUACUAUUUUGUUGGUUUGCGCACCGAGGUAAUGAUUAAUAGGGACAGUUGGGGGUAUUCGUAUUCCAUUGUCAGAGGUGAAAUUCUUGGAUUUCUGGAAGACGAACUACUGCGAAAGCAUUUACCAAGGAUGUUUUCAUUAAUCAAGAACGAAAGUA
This 400-nucleotide ribosomal RNA is filed under the name phytoplankton environmental sample. RNAcentral describes it as "partial small subunit ribosomal RNA". It matches the Rfam family "Eukaryotic small subunit ribosomal RNA", at positions 587 to 991 of the family's 1831-position model. The record is from RNAcentral.